GUUGAAACUCCAGUCCUCGUACGAUCACCUAAGAUAAGCAACGUCGAGCGUAGUCAGUACCUAGAUGGGUGACCACUUGGGAAUAUCAGGUAAUGUAAG
Acanthosepion pharaonis is the source of this 99-nucleotide non-coding RNA. NCBI's taxonomy places the organism in Eukaryota, Metazoa, Mollusca, Cephalopoda, Sepiida, Sepiidae. The record is from the annotation of a GenBank genome assembly.